Molecule: ribosomal RNA, 460 nt
Filed under: uncultured bacterium
Lineage: Bacteria
Description: partial 16S ribosomal RNA
Rfam family: Bacterial small subunit ribosomal RNA
Source: RNAcentral
CCUACGGGUGGCUGCAGUGAGGAAUAUUGGUCAAUGGACGAGAGUCUGAACCAGCCAAGUCGCGUGAAGGAUGACUGCCCUAUGGAUUGUAAACUUCUUUUGUAUGGGAGUAAAAUGUUCCACGUGUGGGGUUUUGUAUGUACCCUAUGAAUAAGGAUCGGCUAACUCCGUGCCAGCAGCCGCGGUAAUACGGAGGAUCCGAGCGUUAUCCGGAUUUAUUGGGUUUAAAGGGAGCGUAGGUGGAGUGUUAAGUCAGGUGUGAAAGUUUGCGGCUCAACCGUAAAAGUGCAGUUGAAACUGGCAGUCUUGAGUGCAGUAGAGGUGGGCGGAAUGCGUGGUGUAGCGGUGAAAUGCUUAGAUAUCACGAAGAACUCCGAUUGCGAAGGCAGCUCACUGGACUGCAACUGACACUGAGGCUCGAAAGUGUGGGUAUCAAACAGGAUUAGAUACCCGAGUAGUC